UACGGAGGAUCCAAGCGUUAUCCGGAAUCAUUGGGUUUAAAGGGUCCGUAGGCGGUUUUGUAAGUCAGUGGUGAAAGCCCAUCGCUCAACGGUGGAACGGCCAUUGAUACUGCAAGACUUGAAUUAUUAGGAAGUAACUAGAAUAUGUAGUGUAGCGGUGAAAUGCUUAGAGAUUACAUGGAAUACCAAUUGCGAAGGCAGGUUACUACUAAUGGAUUGACGCUGAUGGACGAAAGCGUGGGGAUCAAACAGG
Molecule: ribosomal RNA, 253 nt
Filed under: uncultured bacterium
Lineage: Bacteria
Description: partial 16S ribosomal RNA
Rfam family: Bacterial small subunit ribosomal RNA
Source: RNAcentral